GACGAACGCUGGCGGCGUGCUUAACACAUGCGAGUCGAACGGAAAGGCCCUGCUUUUGUGGGGUGCUCGAGUGGCGAACGGGUGAGUAACACGUGAGUAACCUGCCCUUGACUUUGGGAUAACUUCAGGAAACUGGGGCUAAUACCGGAUAGGAGCUCCUGCUGCAUGGUGGGGGUUGGAAAGUUUCGGCGGUCGGGGAUGGACUCGCGGCUUAUCAGCUUGUUGGUGGGGUAGUGGCUUACCAAGGCUUUGACGGGUAGCCGGCCUGAGAGGGUGACCGGCCACAUUGGGACUGAGAUACGGCCCAGACUCCUACGGGAGGCAGCAGUGUGGAAUAUUGCACAAUGGGCGGAAGCCUGAUGCAGCAACGCCGCGUGCGGGAUGACGGCCUUCGGGUUGUAAACCGCUUUCGCCUGUGACGAAGCGUGAGUGACGGUAAUGGGUAAAGAAGCACCGGCUAACUACGUG
Molecule: ribosomal RNA, 468 nt
Filed under: uncultured bacterium
Lineage: Bacteria
Description: partial 16S ribosomal RNA
Rfam family: Bacterial small subunit ribosomal RNA
Source: RNAcentral